GGUGGCUCAGUUGGUAGAGCAUGGUGUUUGCAACGCCAGGGUUGUGGGUUCGAUUCCCAUGGGGACCA
Molecule: transfer RNA, 68 nt
Filed under: Salmo salar (Atlantic salmon)
Lineage: Eukaryota; Metazoa; Chordata; Actinopteri; Salmoniformes; Salmonidae
Rfam family: tRNA
About the family: Transfer RNA (tRNA) molecules are approximately 80 nucleotides in length. Their secondary structure includes four short double-helical elements and three loops (D, anti-codon, and T loops). Further hydrogen bonds mediate the characteristic L-shaped molecular structure. tRNAs have two regions of fundamental functional importance: the anti-codon, which is responsible for specific mRNA codon recognition, and the 3' end, to which the tRNAs corresponding amino acid is attached (by aminoacyl-tRNA synthetases). tRNAs cope with the degeneracy of the genetic code in two manners: having more than one tRNA (with a specific anti-codon) for a particular amino acid; and 'wobble' base-pairing, i.e. permitting non-standard base-pairing at the 3rd anti-codon position.
Source: Rfam by way of RNAcentral